Non-coding RNA from Pterulicium gracile, 100 nucleotides. Lineage: Eukaryota; Fungi; Basidiomycota; Agaricomycetes; Agaricales; Pterulaceae. The record is from the annotation of a GenBank genome assembly.
UCUCUGAUAGUAUAUCGGUUAGUACACGCGCCUGUCAUUCGUUGCGUGUGUGGUUCGCCGUUGUGCGCGCGAAAGCUGGGUUCGACUCCCAGUCAGAGAG